AUAAAAGCAGGGGCCUCUUGCCUUUGUGAAUGGGCCUCUCGUAAACUUCAGGGAAAUCAAUUGGCAUUGUUGUUGGGUGAACCUCCGUUUUGUUGAUUGUGGCUGAAGGAUCAGUAAAUGAUGCAACAUUU
Molecule: small nucleolar RNA, 131 nt
Organism: Humulus lupulus (European hop)
Lineage: Eukaryota; Viridiplantae; Streptophyta; Magnoliopsida; Rosales; Cannabaceae
Product: small nucleolar RNA snoR74
Exons: 1
Source: RefSeq, a predicted model, not a curated record